AGAGUUUGAUUCUGGCUCAGGAUGAACGCUAGCGACAGGCUUAACACAUGCAAGUCGAGGGGCAGCAUAGAAGUAGCAAUACUUGGUGGCGACCGGCGCACGGGUGAGUAACGCGUAUGCAACCUACCUAUCAGAGGGGAAUAACCCGGCGAAAGGCGGACUAAUACCGCAUAAAACAGGGGCACCGCAUGGUGAUAUUUGUUAAAGAAAUUCGCUGAUAGAUGGGCAUGCGUUCCAUUAGGUAGUUGGUGAGGUAACGGCUCACCAAGCCGACGAUGGAUAGGGGAACUGAGAGGUUGGUCCCCCACACUGGUACUGAGACACGGACCAGACUCCUACGGGAGGCAGCAGUGAGGAAUAUUGGUCAAUGGGCGGGAGCCUGAACCAGCCAAGUCGCCGUGAAGGAAGAAGGAUCUAUGGUUCGUAAACUUCUUUUGCAGGGGAAUAAAGUGCAGGACGUGUCCUGUUUUGUAUGUACCCUGAGAAUAAGGAUCGGCUAACUCCGUGCCAGCCGCCGC
RNAcentral lists this ribosomal RNA (518 nucleotides) under uncultured bacterium. Its description in RNAcentral is "bacterial SSU rRNA". It matches the Rfam family "Bacterial small subunit ribosomal RNA", at positions 8 to 518 of the family's 1533-position model. The record is from RNAcentral.